RNAcentral lists this ribosomal RNA (301 nucleotides) under uncultured bacterium. RNAcentral describes it as "partial 16S ribosomal RNA". It matches the Rfam family "Bacterial small subunit ribosomal RNA", at positions 509 to 807 of the family's 1533-position model. The record is from RNAcentral.
CAGCCGCCGCGGGAAUACGUAGGGUGCAAGCGUUAAUCGGAAUUACUGGGCGUAAAGCGUGCGCAGGCGGUUUGUUAAGACAGAUGUGAAAUCCCCGGGCUUAACCUGGGAACUGCAUUUGUGACUGGCAAGCUAGAGUAUGGCAGAGGGGGGUGGAAUUCCGCGUGUAGCAGUGAAAUGCGUAGAUAUGCGGAGGAACACCGAUGGCGAAGGCAGCCCCCUGGGCCAAUACUGACGCUCAUGCACGAAAGCGUGGGGAGCAAACAGGAUUAGAUACCCCCGUAGUCCCUGUCUCUUAUAC